This 440-nucleotide ribosomal RNA is filed under the name uncultured bacterium. RNAcentral describes it as "partial 16S ribosomal RNA". It matches the Rfam family "Bacterial small subunit ribosomal RNA", at positions 338 to 795 of the family's 1533-position model. The record is from RNAcentral.
CCUACGGGUGGCAGCAGUGGGGAAUAUUGCACAAUGGGGGAAACCCUGAUGCAGCGACGCCGCGUGAGUGAAGAAGGAUUUCGGUACGUAAAGCUCUAUCAGCAGGGAAGAAAAGGACGGUACCUGACUAAGAAGCCCCGGCUAACUACGGGCCAGCAGCCGCGGGAAUACGUCGGGGGCAAGCGUUAUCCGGAUUUACUGGGUGUACAGGGAGCGUAGACGGCAGCGCAAGUCUGGAGUGAAAUCCCCUGGCUUAACCAUGGAACUGCUUUUGAAACUGUGCAGCUGGAGUGCAGGAGCGGUCAGCGGAAUUCCUCGUGUAGCGGUGAAAUGCUUAGAUAUUAGGAGGAACCCCAGUGGCGACGGCGGCUUACUGGACUGUACCUGACGUUGCGGCUCGACAGCGUGGGGAGCAAACAGGAUUAGAUACCCUGGUAGUC